RNAcentral lists this small RNA (577 nucleotides) under Pan troglodytes (chimpanzee). Its description in RNAcentral is "processed transcript". Lineage: Eukaryota; Metazoa; Chordata; Mammalia; Primates; Hominidae. The record is from RNAcentral.
GGCUGAGAGGAGCCGGCGGCGGCAGUGUCUGUGGUGGCCGCGGCGGCGAGAGCGACGGUCCCAUCUUUCCCACCCUCUCGGUUGCCGCUGGCCACACGCCCUCCGCUGGCGGCGACUUCUCAGCUCCGUGCGCCCGGGCUGGACAGUGAGCCUCGAGAGGAGACGCGGGCGGCUAGAGCCGGAGUGGGGCGAGCCGCGGAACCCGGCCGGGAGCCGCGCGAGGCGUGAUCGGAGGGUAUGGUUGGCAUGGAAUUGAAUUUCAUCUGUCUGUGGGAAUUGUAAGCAAGAUUGCCAUCACGAAAGCCAAAGUGGAUUUCUCCAGUGUGGUGUGCCUGCCCCCUUCCGUCAUUGCUGUGAAUGGGCUGGACGGAGGAGGGGCCGGCGAAAAUGAUGAUGAACCAGUGCUCGUGUCCCUAUCUGCGGCACCCAGUCCCCAGAGUGAAGCUGUUGCCAAUGAACUGCAGGAGCUCUCCUUGCAGCCCGAGCUGACCCUAGGCCUCCACCCUGGCAGGAAUCCCAAUUUGCCUCCACUUAGUGAGCGGAAGAAUGAAAAAUGUCUCAAAUUGGGUAUAACAAA